RNAcentral lists this ribosomal RNA (501 nucleotides) under uncultured bacterium. Its description in RNAcentral is "partial 16S ribosomal RNA". It matches the Rfam family "Bacterial small subunit ribosomal RNA", at positions 30 to 523 of the family's 1533-position model. The record is from RNAcentral.
AUUGAACACUGGCGGCAGGCUUAACACAUGCAAGUCGAGCGGAGAUGAGGUGCUUGCACCUUAUCUUAGCGGCGGACGGGUGAGUAAUGCUUAGGAAUCUGCCUAUUAGUGGGGGACAACAUUCCGAAAGGAAUGCUAAUACCGCAUACGUCCUACGGGAGAAAGCAGGGGAUCCUCGGACCUUGCGCUAAUAGCUGAGCCUAAGUCGGAUUAGCUAGUUGGUGGGGUAAAGGCCUACCAAGGCGACGAUCUGUAGCGGGUCUGAGAGGAUGAUCCGCCACACUGGGACUGAGACACGGCCCAGACUCCUACGGGAGGCAGCAGUGGGGAGUAUUGGACAAUGGGGGGAACCCUGAUCCAGCCAUGCCGCGUGUGUGAAGAAGGCCUUAUGGUUGUAAAGCACUUUAAGCGAGGAGGAGGCUACUGAGACUAAUACUCUUGGAUAGUGGACGUUACUCGCAGAAUAAGCACCGGCUAACUCUGUGCCAGCCGCCGCAGUAA